UACAGAGGGGGCAAGCGUUGUUCGGAAUUACUGGGCGUAAAGGGCGCGUAGGCGGCCUUCUAAGUCGAACGUGAAAUCCCCGGGCUCAACCCGGGAACUGCGUCCGAUACUGGAAGGCUUGAAUCCGGGAGAGGGAUGCGGAAUUCCAGGUGUAGCGGUGAAAUGCGCAGAUAUCAGGAGGAACACCGGUGGCGAAGGCGGUUCUCUGGGAAUGUCCUGACGCUGAGGAGCGAAAGUGUGGGGAGCGAACAGG
Molecule: ribosomal RNA, 253 nt
Filed under: uncultured bacterium
Lineage: Bacteria
Description: partial 16S ribosomal RNA
Rfam family: Bacterial small subunit ribosomal RNA
Source: RNAcentral